GAGGUUAUAGCUCAAGUGGUAGAGCGCAUGCUUAGCAUGCACAAGGUCCUGGGUUCAAUACCCAGUAUCUCCU
Camelus ferus (Wild Bactrian camel) is the source of this 73-nucleotide transfer RNA. It matches the Rfam family "tRNA". From Rfam's summary of the family: Transfer RNA (tRNA) molecules are approximately 80 nucleotides in length. The record is from Rfam. Lineage: Eukaryota; Metazoa; Chordata; Mammalia; Artiodactyla; Camelidae.